RNAcentral lists this long non-coding RNA (235 nucleotides) under Homo sapiens (human). Its description in RNAcentral is "LNC_000935". The record is from RNAcentral. Lineage: Eukaryota; Metazoa; Chordata; Mammalia; Primates; Hominidae.
GGAGAAGCAGACAUGAAAAAUAAGUGGCUGAAGAUAAAGUAGGAAAGAUGAUUGAUUGAAUAAAGGACAGAAAAGGGAUCAAGAGCAUAGAAGAAAACAUUUGGAUUAGAUGAAGAAAUUGAAGCUCCAAUACAGCAGCUAACUUGUGUGGUAUCACACAGCUGGUUGACUUGCCCAAAACCUUCACAUUUCCUUCCAGUGCUGAGAGGUGGAGCUAUUGGGUGAUGAAAAGGAU